AUAGAGAAAUUUUGUCCAUUUGCCAUUUGAGAAGAACACAGUGAGUUUGAUGAUUCUUGAAGCUUCUUUGUAUUGAGGAAACGUCCACCGGAGCCUCUAGCUCUCUUUAAAGCAUGAAGAUGGCGAGACUCAUGAAGGCAAAAUGGAAAGUGAAAACAGUCAUACUUUACGGCAUUUGAUGAGUUUGUUCUGAGCUUCGAGUUUAGCACGGUGCUUCCUGCGACGGAGAAUCGCAUGAUACUGUUUCGCAUUGACAAAUAUUGGUUCAUUCUCUUGAAUGUGAUGAGGCAAUGGCACUCUUGAAGAAACCAAACCCAUCAUCUCUAAAUGUGGCAGCGCCUGCAAAAAGAUUUCCCAAUCAACCAAUCAAUGCGCCAGAUCGAUUCAGAAUAGUAAAA
This is a long non-coding RNA of Arabidopsis thaliana (thale cress), 398 nucleotides long. RefSeq annotates it as other RNA. The transcript is spliced from 2 exons. The record is from RefSeq. NCBI's taxonomy places the organism in Eukaryota, Viridiplantae, Streptophyta, Magnoliopsida, Brassicales, Brassicaceae.